This 479-nucleotide ribosomal RNA is filed under the name uncultured bacterium. RNAcentral describes it as "partial 16S ribosomal RNA". It matches the Rfam family "Bacterial small subunit ribosomal RNA", at positions 28 to 507 of the family's 1533-position model. The record is from RNAcentral.
GAUGAACGCUAGCGGGAGGCCUAACACAUGCAAGCCGAGCGGUAGAGUCUCUUCGGAGACUUGAGAGCGGCGCACGGGUGCGGAACACGUGUGCAACCUGCCUUUAUCUGGGGGAUAGCCUUUCGAAAGGAAGAUUAAUACCCCAUAAUAUACUGGAUGGCAUCAUCUGGUAUUGAAAACUCCGGUGGAUAGAGAUGGGCACGCGCAAGAUUAGAUAGUUGGUGAGGUAACGGCUCACCAAGUCAGCGAUCUUUAGGGGGCCUGAGAGGGUGAUCCCCCACACUGGGACUGAGACACGGACCAGACUCCUACGGGAGGCAGCAGUGAGGAAUAUUGGACAAUGGGUGAGAGCCUGAUCCAGCCAUCCCGCGUGAAGGACGACGGCCCUAUGGGUUGUAAACUUAUUUUGUAUAGGGAUAAACCUAGAUACGUGUAUCUAGCUGAAGGUACUAUACGAAUAAGCACCGGCUAACUCCGUG